This 468-nucleotide ribosomal RNA is filed under the name uncultured bacterium. Its description in RNAcentral is "partial 16S ribosomal RNA". It matches the Rfam family "Bacterial small subunit ribosomal RNA", at positions 38 to 507 of the family's 1533-position model. The record is from RNAcentral.
GAGGAAAGAGGGAGGCGUGCUUAACACAUGCAAGUCGAACGGAAAGGCCCUGCUUUUGUGGGGUGCUCGAGUGGCGAACGGGUGAGUAACACGUGAGUAACCUGCCCUUGACUUUGGGAUAACUUCAGGAAACUGGGGCUAAUACCGGAUAGGAGCUCCUGCUGCAUGGUGGGGGUUGGAAAGUUUCGGCGGUUGGGGAUGGACUCGCGGCUUAUCAGCUUGUUGGUGGGGUAGUGGCUUACCAAGGCUUUGACGGGUAGCUGGCCUGAGAGGGUGACCGGCCACAUUGGGACUGAGAUACGGCCCAGACUCCUACGGGAGGCAGCAGUGGGGAAUAUUGCACAAUGGGCGGAAGCCUGAUGCAGCAACGCCGCGUGCGGGAUGACGGCCUUCGGGUUGUAAACCGCUUUCGCCUGUGACGAAGCGUGAGUGACGGUAAUGGGUAAAGAAGCACCGGCUAACUACGUG